CAAUAGCAUAUAUUAAAGUUGUUGCAGUUAAAAGCUCGUAGUUGGAUUUCUGGCAUGAUGCGCCUGGCCCGCCUCAAUUCUGAGUGUGUGUGCGAGUGCGCGUCUGCCAUCCAUUUGCAGAAUGUGCCUACUCUUCAUUGAGCCGGGUACGUGAUGUAAAUCUUUUACUUUGAAAAAUUAGAGUGUUUAAAGCAGGCAUUUGCUAUGAAUACAUUAGCAUGGAAUAAUAAUCUAGGACUUCGGUUCUAUUUUGUUGGUUUCUAGAUCUGAAGUAAUGAUUGAUAGGGAUAGUUGGGGGUGCUAGUAUUAAGGGGCCAGAGGUGAAAUUCUUGGAUUUAUGGAAGACGAACUACUGCGAAAGCAUUUACCAAGGAUGUUUUCAUUAAUCAAGAACGAAAGUUAGGGGAUCGAAGAUGAUUAGAU
RNAcentral lists this ribosomal RNA (423 nucleotides) under uncultured eukaryote. Its description in RNAcentral is "bacterial SSU rRNA". It matches the Rfam family "Eukaryotic small subunit ribosomal RNA", at positions 592 to 1013 of the family's 1831-position model. The record is from RNAcentral.